AGCGGAAAAGGAAAAAAAAAACUUAUCUCCCGUCGCCGCCUCCCGGAGCCGCUCGCCGCCUCCUCGCGAGCGCCCGCCGGACCGCCGGGUGCCGCCGCCAGCUCCGAGCACUCACCCGCCGGAGCCGCGCCCCCUACCCCGCCACCUCCUCACGCGCGCCCGACGCUCGCCCUACCCCGCUGCUGCCGCCUCCUCGCAGCCGCCGGUGAGCCGGGUUUGCCGUCUGCUGGGGCCUUCUCCACCGCCGCCGCCGCCUCCUCGCGCGCAGCCUCUGGAGAUCUGGGGUCGCCGUCGGCCAGCUCCUCCUCGCGUGCGCCCGCCCGGGAUCUGUGGUGGGUUACGGCACUACGUAGUAUAGACUCCAGGUUAAGGCACAGGGAGGCAACAAUCCAAUCUAGGAGAGAUGGGAUGGGAUCCCAGCUCAAGGGAGCCCUGGCGGCAGCUACGAUUGGGAGGACCUAAGCCCUACAGCCAAGCUCUAUAAUCAACCCCCUUUUGCUUACUGGCGAUAAGUCAACCAACUUCCAAUGAUGCAGUCAAUAGUUUCUGAUCAGUUUGGAGUAGUCUGUGCCAUGUUGCUGUGAUAAUGCUACAGGUUGACUUCAAGCAUUGGGCUAAAAACUAAGAUUAUGUAAGUUAAAUAACAUAUAUGCCGUCAUUUUCAAUUUAAGUGAUAUUGUGUCAAUCUUCUGAUCAACUGUUUACAUCUUCGGAUUAUAUAGAUUCAUGUCACCUGUGUAUGUCUUCGGAAUUAUCUAUGUUUAUGUUACUGUGUAUGUCUUCAGAUUUAUAUAUAUUUAGGUCACCUGUGUAUAUCUUGAGAUAUUCCGUAAUUGCAUAUUAUUACAGAUGGCAAAGAUGCUUAAUUCUAUUUUUUUACUGGAUAUCCUUCAGCGAUAUGCCCCUGCCCGGCCUUGUCAGCUGAUAUGGCAUACAUUCCUCCAGGCUGCACUCACUUACACUUUUACUGUAGAUUGAUAGAUUAAUGUUCCUUUGUCAAGGUGAACCAAUCAGCUAAUGAUGGUUCAUAUAGUUCUGAUUUGAGUGCAACUAUGUAUCCACUAUGAUGUAGAAUCGUGGGUAUUUACAGAUGCAAUUUAAAAGGUAUGCCACUUAGGAAUCGACACUCAGGCACAUGCACCUAGGCUUGAUGGGUAAGUCUGGCCAAUUUACAUAUGGGGAACACAAAUUAAUUUAAUCAGUUAUUCCAAUUUAUUCUUCUUUGUUUCUAUGCAUUGCAAUACCAAUUUGAGUGCCUAUCUUGUCAUGCUAUUCAGCAUAAUGUCUUGGCAGGCUAUGCAUAUGUUCAUGCUUAUAUAUGUAGCAUUCAUAUAAGUAACUAUUAAUUGGAUUGCUUGCUUUGUCUAAUGCAGCCUCACCAUUUCAUUUGUGGCGAGUACCUUAAUUCCAUCUUGCCAUUAUCGAGGGAGUAUAUCAUCUGCACCUAAUUCUGUAUAUAGAGUAUUUAUUGACUAGGGUCUUGGAAAUUUUUGAAUUGCUGUCAGAUGCAAGUUCCUCAGAUUGAUGAUUUGAUUAGUUUCACAGCUAAUACCAUUGAUCACAGCUAAACACCACUUAUAGAAGUUUAAUGGAUUUUUAUCUAAAAAGGGGAAAAAGGGAAGUUAAUAACUGAAACUGCAUAGUAGUACUAUGGUCUCUGAACAAAGAAAUUUGUUGAGUUUCCUAGCAACUGCUGGGUGCAUUUUCCUCUUGUUAUGUGUGCCUAACCUUCCAUCCAUUAAAUUUCAAAAGUGCAAAUUCUUUGUAUAGGUAUUACUGGGACUCAAAUGUACACCUUUCAGUUCACUCUCAAUUUUGUUUCUGAAUUGUGUGUCUGCUGAUGCUUGCUUCUGAAUUUUGUAUCUGAAGGCGAAUCAUUGCUUCUGUUUUAUGUAGUCCUCAGCUUGAGUAAGCCAGGAAAUUAUGCACUGUGUUGUCAAAAAGCUAUGCACUUUGUUAUUAGGAGUUGUUUAAAUAAUAAUGGAUCCCCUUUUGUUUCCAGCCUUGGAGAUCAUCCAGGUUCUCAGGGGGUCAACCCUAUCAACAUAUAUUUUUUAAUCAUUUCAGGAAGAGAAAUAGAGAAUUAUUGCAUGCAUUCCUUUGAUAUCAAAGAUUGGGAUUAAAUUUCCAGCUUAAUCCUGACAGCCGCAAUGUGUCUUGUGCAAAAGGAAGCAAGGCUGCAACUGAAACACGGUGAAUAGUAAAUAAAAAUCUCGCUUUUAGGAAAAAAGGUGCAGCAGCUUGAAGCAUUAAAAAAGAAGAUGGCAGCAAACAGAUGUUUGCUUUAUUGUAUUCAAUACUUGGAUAUUCCACUGUGCUUCCCAAAUUGAGCUGAAUAAAUAGCUUGACGAAUUGUUCUCUUAACAUGUCUCAGUUGUCUUUUGUAUCAAAUCAGCAGCAUAAUCCAUUCAUGGAUUGUUCUUUUUCACUGGUGAUACAGAUAGUUACUUCUAAUGUUUUAUGGAAAAGUUCGAGCUACAAAAAUUUCUGAAGCAAGCUUACGGAUUGUUUCUGAUGAGUUUAGCAACUCUAUGGAAACAAGCAUAAGUGCUUCUCAUCUGACCAGUUCCAAGAGAGAAGUAGCCAACUGGCAUGGUUAUGUUCAUCAGAAUAUUGAAUGUCAAAUCGAAAGGAGGUGCCAACCUAUAGCUAUCAACGACAUGGACACCAUGGUUCAGAUCCAUAAAUUUGGGGAUCAUGGAUGUCUAGGUUCAGAAAAUUUUGGAUUUUAGACAACAAUUUUCUAGAAUUACCAAUUCAGAAAAACACAUUAUGCGUUUUGUUAUAAUGUAAUAAAAUACCAAUUUACGUUUA
RNAcentral lists this long non-coding RNA (2814 nucleotides) under Oryza sativa Indica Group (long-grained rice). Its description in RNAcentral is "lncRNA OsZS97_12G010140". The record is from RNAcentral. Lineage: Eukaryota; Viridiplantae; Streptophyta; Magnoliopsida; Poales; Poaceae.